GAUCUUUUGGUCUAAUGGUUAUGACAUUGAUUCUUCAUAUCAAUAAUAUCGGUUCGAUUCCGGUAAAGGUUA
Pichia kudriavzevii is the source of this 72-nucleotide non-coding RNA. Lineage: Eukaryota; Fungi; Ascomycota; Pichiomycetes; Pichiales; Pichiaceae. The record is from Rfam.